Long non-coding RNA from Triticum dicoccoides, 5904 nucleotides. RefSeq lists it as uncharacterized. The transcript has 8 exons. The record is from RefSeq and is a predicted model, not a curated record. Lineage: Eukaryota; Viridiplantae; Streptophyta; Magnoliopsida; Poales; Poaceae.
CCCGGCCACAGGAUCGAUUGUGCGUACGAGUGAGGCCUCCUGCCCUCGAGCGCCCCACGACUCGCACAGCAGGUCGUGAGACGCCACCCUCCAUCCCCUCGCCCCAGAUCCAUCCCUUCGCCACCGCCAGUUCGUCCCUUCGCCGCCCGCCGUUCCAUCCCUCCGCCGCCGAUCCAUCCCUUCGCCGUCGCCCCGCACAUCGAAGCCGCCGCCCUCCAUCGGACGAACGAGCCCGCCUCAAACGCCGAUGAGAAUAAUGCUCCCCUCGAUCUAUUCGCUGUGUUGAGGGGAACCACGCCCCAGCCGCCAUUGCGGAUCUCUUCGACGCCGCUGAGGCCCUACGGGAGCCACCGACGCCUUCAUUGCGGUGCUCUAGGUCGCCGCCGUCGUGGUCCACAAUCCCCGCCGCCGAGGUCCGUAGUCGCCGCCGUCGAGGUCCGAGAGGUGUCGCCGCCACCUUCAUUCCGGACCUGGAGGUCUGCGCCAAUCCCCAGGCCAGGGCGGUUCGUACCCCAGUCCCCAGGGCAAGGCGGUUCAAACCCCAGUCAGAGAGAGCUAGCCAUUAACCAUGGUACAUACAUCUGUUAAGAUCCCGUGCGUGGCUACGGGUAUAAUGAAUGCAACGGGCACAGCGGUUCCAUGCUGGAUCAUGGUGAUGAUGCAGUCGACUCAGCGGGGGAUAGGAGGCUCGCCGGCUGGCGUUUCAUUGAUGCAUGGGUGUUCCAAUCAUGAUGGUACUGUCGGAUAAUGUACAAGACUUUUUUAGAACAAUGUACAAGACUUUGGACGAGGUUCAUCUGCGUCGAUGUUUGUGGCUGGGUCGCUGGGUACACAAUCCAUUCACCGUGUAAGGUUCAGUCAACUCCUUUGAGGUGCUUAACAAGUAACGGAGGUUUUGGUGUCAUCUGUACUCAGGGAAAGGGUGUGAAGACUAUACAUGUCAAAUCCUCAUACGAAAUGUUGAUCUGUUGUGCUUCUAGAAUUAUGGAUUUCCGAAUAAUUAAAUGACCAGUUAUGCAAUACAAUAUUCCCAUAGUAUUGAAAUCUUCUAUUCUGCAAAGUGUCCUUCAGAAAAUGGCACUUGCACUUAAUAUGGGACACUCCAAAUCCAUAUGUGCAGGCUAUAUCUGAUAUUUUCUCCAUACAGAGUCAGCAGCAACUUGAUUUAUAUUUCCGCUACUUGUCAAUACGAUGGCCCGUUGGAAAUAAAUGAGGUUUGGCCAUCACUUAUACUUGGGAACUACUUUUCAGUGAUAGCUGUGUUGACUAAGAGAACUACGGCGGGCUUACGCUUACCUGAAGUAUAUUCAAAACUAUCAGAGUGUACAACAGAUUAGAGCAGAUUACAUCAGCCUUAAAGACUGUUGGCCAUUAACGGUUAUCUAUGGCACUAAAACUUGUUGAUCUCAACACAUUCACCUCACAACACUUGUUGGCUAAAACAUGUGCAUUUAGCGCCAAAGAAGUUGAGGAAUUAAUGAGGUGAUAGGAGUUGUGUGCUGAGGAGAAACUAUUCUCUUGCAAAUUGGAUAGUUGUUGUAGGAAUUAAAAAGGCACAUGAUUGUAUUGUUGUUGUGGGAUUUCGUUUCUACACGUUCCUCGACCCUAAUGUCUACAUGAGGUGUGAGUUCAACGGAUCGUGGAAAUUACAUUACUAAUAGAAAGAUGCCGCAGCAAAAAGAAUGCUCUCAGCCUUGGACGAUUCAUUCACUCGAUUCUUGAAACCAUUACCUUUUCUGAAGUAAGUCUGGCUAGCACGCAAGGUGCCCUCGCAGGUGAAGGUUGCAUGUCUUCUGCUGGGUGUUUUGAUACUUUUCAGUCUCUACUUGAAUGUUGCGUACCUAAUUUCUUAGUGGCCAACAAUCAUGCACUGAUUCUUGCUAGGGGUCCUCGAGGAAACUCAAUAGAUGGCUACAGAUGUUGCUAGGGGUCCUCGAGGAAACCCAAUAGAUGGUUUUUUCCUGAAGGUAUUAAGAUUACCAAGAUUUGGUCAGCUGUUACACCAUCAUAUUUCGGCACCUGAGUUUUGGUAUGUGCCAUGCAUAUAUUUUGGCAGCAAAUGGGUGGGUGCCUGGGUUCUCAAUGUCCUUCCUAAAUGGAAAUCAUAUACAUACAUAUAUGUUUGAUGUCUUGAUAUAAGUGAAAAUAGUUCAUGAUACCAGCCUAAGACUCUUAAUUUCUGUUUCUUUGCUAUCUGACCUUUGCAUUUCCUAGGUAAGCACUGUGUGAGAUCAUACAUUGAUCAUGGUUCUUGAUAGUUGUGUACUUUUCUUGGAUCUUUAGAAGAAUGUUAUCUUGAGAAAAAAAAAGAGAAAUCAGCUGUAUGUAACUUCUGGAAUUUAGUAUGCUGGUGGCAUUCUAAUGUUUAAUAUAUAUCAGGCAUCAUAUGCCAUGUGAAAAGUCAUGUUAAUAUCAUGAUGGGUCGCAUGCAAGUGCAUGUAGCAGCUCAUCUUAUUUUGUUAGAGAUAAUUUGCAUGGUGAUUACCAUAAUGGUGUCAGAUGAACAAAAUACUUAGUGUGACCAUGUUAAAAACUUAAAAUGAUGGUCUAGGUGAAAACUUGCUAUAAAGAUGGGUAGCAUGUCUUUUAAUCAUUUCUGAGGCAUUUCAUGUCUUAACGGGAAAUUGUUUUUCAAGUUCUCCAUUGGUGCGGCGGGGCUUAGAGGGAUGGCCAGGUGGCGGCCAGCAACAGCAGUGGGCGGAGGUCGAGGGGAAGGUGUGGCAGCGAGGCGGCGCGCGAAAGUUUGCAGUACAUUACACAAUUUUGUUUGCUAUUCAGUAACUAAUGCUAAAGUUUAUUCCUACAGCUUCUACAUGAACAACUCCCUGUUUACUAAAGGCAAAAACUCAUCCUUGAGCCAGCUUACUCCUGCAAAUGUGGGCCAACACACAAUUCACUUCAUGCCUUGUUCAUAACAUCAUAUUUCUCAACCUAAUGGCAUCUGCCAAUGAUCUCAAAAGCCGAUGUGUUCAACUUGUGUUUUUGUCGUGUGUUCAACAUGUAAUGUCAUUUUUGUAGGCUAAUUUCACUUUCGAUGAUCUCACGAUAAAGCGACCAUAGAACGAGAAGGUGAGCUAAAAAUCAUCUUGUUGUUUAUUGUUGCAAAAUUUCCUGUAUGUGUAUCUAUAUAGCAUAAAAAAGAAAGCGACCAUGAUUAUAAUGUCCUACUAAUGUGCUUAUUGAAUUGAUGAAAUAACUCAAAUGUAUUUCUUUAUACUAAUCUAAUUACUUGGAUUGUUUUUUCCUUCGUUUUAUCUUUACCAUUAAAGUUUGUUUUCUAUCUUUUCUGAUUCAUAAGUUACGUUCAUGCCAAUGGAGAUGGUGAAUACACUCCUAUGGUUGGAUGUAAAACCUGUCGAACAGAUGGCCAAACCCAUUUCCGAAGCAGGCCCAAAAAAAAACAUUAUCACUUGUUUUGGAAGCUGCCUAAAGAAAAAACAGCACCGCAGAAACAUAUAUGACUUAAAGCCAAAGGUAACAAUAAAAAUCCUUCUCUGGUUCAUUAAUUGGUUCGCCUAAUCAAAUUGUUGAUUAUGCAACUGAAACCUGCGAGGAAUUAUUAUAAACAUGAUUUGGAUGCAUCAUAUUGAAAGUGGAAUAGGGGCAGGGACGUUGAUCCUUCGUAAUGACCACAGGGACUACUGGAAGGCGCUACGUUUGGCGAGAAUCUGCUAAUCUAUUUCACUAACGCCGUGUGGGCGUUCUUGAAUUCCGAGUAUGCCGCAACUGGAUUUGACAGGGUGAGGGAUGCAGGAGCGGUUCCGAGUAUGCCGCAACUGGAUUUGAUAGGGUGAGGGAUGCAGGAGCGGUCGAUGACGAGGUGGCUCCAUCUAAGGGUGGCCGGUAUGACGUCCGGGAUAUCGCGCACCUAUAGAGGUAAGCAGAUUGUGUAGAACUGCAGCUUGUUAUGUAUAAUGCUGUUUGAUUUAAUCUGAUGCUAUUUUAGACUUAUGCAACCAAAUCUAUCAGAAAGAGUGCAUGAUAAAUAAAGUUUAUAUAAUGGAAGAGGAAAUCCACCCAGCGAGUGCAUGAUGAAGUAGACCACUCUACUUUUUAAACUGGGAACUUCGAUUGGAAAUUGUUACUGAUUAUUGAAGUCGCAUGGUAAGAUAGCUGAAUAGUACUAUUUCAGUACUGGAAGUUUAUGCAAGUUGGUGCACAGUACCGGAAGUGGUGGUAUGAGUGAAAUGAAGCACACUUCUGAUGGGGAGAAAAAACGACUCGUCCGUAAGGAGACAAUUGAUCUCUUCUGAAUCAAGGUGAUGUUGGUUCGACAGAUGGAUAUCUUUACCUAUUUUUGUGAAGAGUUUUGUGUGAACCUGGAAACGACAAGGGGAAAUAUAAUACAGGGUCUAGCAUGAGAAGACAUUGAUUUUGAGCACAAAUGCAAAAAUGCAUAACCGAAAAAUUAAAAGGCCUUUGUUAAUGUCUCAGUUGGUAGUCUUCGUCGGUUAAUUUUCGUCCUAUCUACCAUGUUUUUUUCGUUCUCCCUCCCACCUUACGGUUCCAAAAAAACCAACCAAAACCAACUGAGCCCUGUCCCACAAAACGAAAUCAGAGGAAUGAGGCCUCCAUGACUCCUCUCUCGAUCUGUUUCCUAGGGACUGAACACCGCCGCCGCCGCCGAUCCCAUCUUCCCCGGUGACAUGCCUCGCCGGCGGCCUCCUCUCCCCAUCCACGCCAGCGACCUUCCUCUACCCCGCCCUCUCUGUCAACCCGUCCCUCUAGCAGCUCGGGCGAAACCCUAGCCCACCCGAUGCCACGGCGACCUAGCAGGCAGGCGCGAGGAGCCCUGCCCAGCCAUGGCGACACCGCCGGCGGCCUCCUCCUCCCCCUCACCUUCUCUCCCUCUCCCAAGGGAGGGAAGGGAAUGGAAGGGAUCCGGCGGCAAGGGGAGGCAGCGCCCAGAUCCGCAGCCGCACCGGUGGGCCGCCAUCCCUCGAGGUCGUCCAUGGAGGUCCGAAUGUGAUACAGGCUUGAGGUACGCCUUACAGACUUACCUAUCUAUGUAUCUUAGUUACAAGAGCAUCAAGGUAUGAAUGUGAUACACUACCACCUAUUUUUACUCGUAUGGACCAAAUCAUCAAUGUUAAAAUUCUGAUGUCCACCUAAAAGUAACUGUAGGUUAUUCGCUCAGAAUUGUCGAUUGCCGCUGACCACUUCUUAGAUUUCUAUUAACCUGAGGACCAGAACAAGCAGGUUCAUGUGCAAGUAUAUAGUUUAUAUUUGAAGAGUUAGCUUCAGACAACGCACGAUCUAUGCAAAAUCCAUCAUCUCAUGCUUGCAUAACAAGACCGAUGGUAAUUUGUCUACUACUCUACUUACUGCAGUUUACAAAUUCUUUUAUGGCUUCAGUUCCCACGCCGCUGCACGUGCAGGUCUCUGUUUGCUCAGUCCUCUUGCCGCGACACCAUCACCAAGUCACUCAGAACCCACCACCGCCACAAACACCCCAUACCGUCACGCGUGACGGCCGCAGCAUCACAACUUCACGAGAAGUGAACUAUGAAAUCCCUCCUCAUUCCAAACAAUGAAACUAUGAGGCUGAAAGUACAAAUUUCAUACGACAUGACUGACUUAGAGAAAAAAUGGGCGUAUUUGGAGCCGGAUGAAAAUAUGGGCAGAUUUGGAGCAGUGUGAAGACGGCGCACGCUGGUGUUGCAAUGACCAAAAGUGUCGAAGUGAAAGAAGAGAUGGAAUGACAAUGACACAACCUUGUAGUGUGAUUCUUGUAUGUAUGUUUGAGGUCCGUAGGAAAAAAAUGUAUUAGUGAGAUAAAGUGACGGAGAUAUGCAUCUUAGGCGCAGAUGGAAGCAGAGCACAAAGAUAAACGAAACAUUAUUAGUUUGUGAAUGAACUCGUGGUGGAAAGAAUGUUUUCAUGUUCAUAUGCCACAUUUUCUUA